ACUUGAGCUGGGCCUUGGAAGAGAGACAAGAGACCUGGGCUCUGGGGAGAGGGAGAAGAAAGUAGAACCGGCUGCACAGGAGGAUUUGAAGAUGGCAGGCCGCUGACUGGCCCCGUCCUGCGUGAGGAGGGGCACGAUGAGGAAGCUGAGGCUCAAAGAGUUUAAAUGACUGACCCAAAGUCCCAAAGUGAGGCUUCCAGGACCAGAAUCCUGUUACGGUGGCCGCCAGGCCAGGCUGACUCUCUGCUCUACCCACAUCUGCUGAGACUUCGCUUUGAACUCAAGUCUCCGUGUGGCUCCAUGCUCCACACGUCUGCCAGGAC
RNAcentral lists this long non-coding RNA (323 nucleotides) under Equus caballus (horse). RNAcentral's name for it is "lncRNA (ENSECAG00000051120.1)". Lineage: Eukaryota; Metazoa; Chordata; Mammalia; Perissodactyla; Equidae. The record is from RNAcentral.